This 281-nucleotide ribosomal RNA is filed under the name uncultured prokaryote. RNAcentral's name for it is "partial 16S ribosomal RNA". It matches the Rfam family "Bacterial small subunit ribosomal RNA", at positions 524 to 803 of the family's 1533-position model. The record is from RNAcentral.
UACGUAGGGGCUAGCGUUAUCCGGAAUUACUGGGCGUAAAGGGUGCGUAGGUGGUUUCUUAAGUCAGAGGUGAAAGGCUACGGCUCAACCGUGGUAAGCCUUUGAAACUGGGAAACUUGAGUGCAGGAGAGGAGAGUGGAAUUCCUAGUGUAGCGGUGAAAUGCGUAGAUAUUAGGAGGAACACCAGUCGCGAAGGCGGCUCUCUGGACUGUAACUGACACUGAGGCACGAAAGCGUGGGGAGCAAACAGGAUUAGAUACCCCGUACGUCCCUCGAGCGGG